This 270-nucleotide long non-coding RNA is filed under the name Vigna radiata. Its description in RNAcentral is "long non-coding RNA (VRAD_LNC007045)". Lineage: Eukaryota; Viridiplantae; Streptophyta; Magnoliopsida; Fabales; Fabaceae. The record is from RNAcentral.
AAAAUUUUGAUAUACCUAAAUUUUGCAAAAUAUUUUAUCGAAUUUUUGACUACACAGAGACAAUCAAUGAAAAAAGACGAAAAAAAUCUAGUACUAAAUGAAAUUUCAUUGUUAUGUUAGAAGAAGGAUAGCUAUACUGAUUCGGUAUACUCAAAAGAUACCGUUGGUACAAAAUGGACGAUCUAACAAAGAUUAUAUUUCAGUAAAUUUCGCCUUACUGAUCUUGUCUUUUAUGGACUUGACCUCCCUUUUUGACUCUACAAGAAUAUG